RNAcentral lists this ribosomal RNA (490 nucleotides) under uncultured bacterium. Its description in RNAcentral is "partial 16S ribosomal RNA". It matches the Rfam family "Bacterial small subunit ribosomal RNA", at positions 30 to 507 of the family's 1533-position model. The record is from RNAcentral.
AUUGAACGCUGGCGGCAGGCCUAACACAUGCAAGUCGAACGGUAACAUGAAGACGCUUGCUUCUUUGCUGACGAGUGGCGGACGGGUGAGUUAUGUCUUGGAAACUUCCUGAUGUAGGGGGUUAUCUACUGGAAUCGGUAGCUAAUACCGCAUAACUUCCCAAGUUCAAAGAGGGGGACCUUCGUUCCUCUUUCCAUCGGCUUUGCCCAUAUGGGAUUAGCUAGUAGGUGGGGUUACGGCUCACCUAGGCAACGAUCCCUAGAUGGUCUGAGAGGAUGACCAGCCACACUGGAACGGAGACGCGGUACAGACACCUACGGGAAGCAGCAGUGGGGAAUAUUACACAAUGGGCGAAAGGAGAAUACAGGAAAGCCGCGUGUAGGAAGAAGGACUAAGGGUUGGAAAGUAAUUUAAGCGGGGAGGAAGGAAAUAAAGUUAAAACCGUAGGAAAAUGACGUUACCGGCAGAAGAAGCACCGGCUAACUCCGUG